GAUGAACGCUGGCGGCGUGCUUAACACAUGCAAGUCGAACGGUGAAGGCGGAGCUUGCUCUGCUGGAUCAGUGGCGAACGGGUGAGUAACACGUGAGCAAUCUGCCCCUGACUCUGGGAUAAGCGCUGGAAACGGCGUCUAAUACUGGAUACGAGCUGCGAAGGCAUCUUCAGCAGCUGGAAAGAAUUUCGGUCAGGGAUGAGCUCGCGGCCUAUCAGCUUGUUGGUGAGGUAAUGGCUCACCAAGGCGUCGACGGGUAGCCGGCCUGAGAGGGUGACCGGCCACACGGGGACUGAGACACGGCCCAGACUCCUACGGGAGGCAGCAGUGGGGAAUAUUGCACAAUAGGCGAAAGCCUGAUGCAGCAACGCCGCGUGAGGGACGACGGCCUUCGGGUUGUAAACCUCUUUUAGCAGGGAAGAAGCGAAAGUGACGGUACCUGCAGAAAAAGCGCCGGCUAACUACGUG
Molecule: ribosomal RNA, 468 nt
Filed under: uncultured bacterium
Lineage: Bacteria
Description: partial 16S ribosomal RNA
Rfam family: Bacterial small subunit ribosomal RNA
Source: RNAcentral